AUUGAACGCUGGCGGCAGGCCUAACACAUGCAAGUCGAGCGGUAGAGAGAAGCUUGCUUCUCUUGAGAGCGGCGGACGGGUGAGUAAUGCCUAGGAAUCUGCCUGGUAGUGGGGGAUAACGUUCGGAAACGGACGCUAAUACCGCAUACGUCCUACGGGAGAAAGCAGGGGACCUUCGGGCCUUGCGCUAUCAGAUGAGCCUAGGUCGGAUUAGCUAGUUGGUGAGGUAAUGGCUCACCAAGGCGACGAUCCGUAACUGGUCUGAGAGGAUGAUCAGGCACACUGGAAAGGAGACACGGUCCAGGCUCCUACGGGAGGCAGCAGUGGGGAAUAUUGGACAAUGGGCGAAAGCCUGAUCCAGCCAUGCCGCGUGUGUGAAGAAGGUCUUCGGAUUGUAAAGCACUUUAAGUUGGGAGGAAGGGUUGUAGAUUAAUACUCUGCAAUUUUGACGUUACCGACAGAAUAAGCACCGGCUAACUCUGUGCCAGCCGCCGCCGUAA
This 500-nucleotide ribosomal RNA is filed under the name uncultured bacterium. Its description in RNAcentral is "partial 16S ribosomal RNA". It matches the Rfam family "Bacterial small subunit ribosomal RNA", at positions 30 to 523 of the family's 1533-position model. The record is from RNAcentral.